RNAcentral lists this non-coding RNA (29 nucleotides) under Mus musculus (house mouse). Lineage: Eukaryota; Metazoa; Chordata; Mammalia; Rodentia; Muridae. The record is from RNAcentral.
UGCAAACUUUGGUUGCGUUGCUGUUGUAC